Cyprinus carpio carpio is the source of this 518-nucleotide long non-coding RNA. The record is from Ensembl. Lineage: Eukaryota; Metazoa; Chordata; Actinopteri; Cypriniformes; Cyprinidae.
CCCCACCGCCGCGACUCGUAGAUGGGGAACCCACUUAUUCGGUAAAUCGAAUUCUGGACUCAAGACGGAGGGGACGCGGAUUUCAGUAUCUGGUGGACUGGGAGGGUUACGGUCCGGAGGAGAGAAGUUGGGUUCCUGCUAGGGACAUUCUGGAUCAGUCCCUUAUUGAUGAUUACUAUCAACAGAUCGUUGUUUUAUGGAUGUAACCUGUUGUGUUCCUGUCUCUUCGGCUCCUCGUGUCUCCUGGUUUGUCUCCGGCUGGAAGUUCGCCGUUGCAGUGUAUGUCUUCACUAUUCACCAACACUGGAUUCACCACUUCACGUCUGACCAUCGGAUCGAGUUGUCCAUGCAAGCCUGCGCUGCCUAGUCAUCAUCAUCAUCGGAGAUACCAUCACAUUCAGAAGGACCUGUGUACUGCAUUAGCAUCUUCCAGGAUUUCUGAGAACUGUGUCUGCUUCCCCAUUUUUCACUCUGAGACUGGUGCUAUUCAUCCUAAUAAAAGGAUCUGUUUGACUUGC